This 254-nucleotide ribosomal RNA is filed under the name uncultured bacterium. RNAcentral describes it as "partial 16S ribosomal RNA". It matches the Rfam family "Bacterial small subunit ribosomal RNA", at positions 524 to 776 of the family's 1533-position model. The record is from RNAcentral.
UACGGGGGGGGCAAGCGUUGUUCGGAAUUACUGGGCGUAAAGGGCUCGUAGGCGGCCAACUAAGUCAGACGUGAAAUCCCUCGGCUUAACCGGGGAACUGCGUCUGAUACUGGAUGGCUUGAGUUCGGGAGAGGGAUGUGGAAUUCCUGGUGUAGCGGUGAAAUGCGCAGAUAUCAGGAGGAACACCGGUGGCGAAGGCGCUGCUCUGGGCCGAAACUGACGCUGAGUGAGCGAAAGCCAGGGGAGCAAACGGG